RNAcentral lists this ribosomal RNA (484 nucleotides) under uncultured bacterium. RNAcentral describes it as "partial 16S ribosomal RNA". It matches the Rfam family "Bacterial small subunit ribosomal RNA", at positions 28 to 507 of the family's 1533-position model. The record is from RNAcentral.
AUUGAACGCUGGCGGCAUGCUUUACACAUGCAAGUCGAACGGCAGCGCGGGCUUCGGCCUGGCGGCGAGUGGCGAACGGGUGAGUAAUGCAUCGGAACGUGCCCAGUAGUGGGGGAUAGCCCGGCGAAAGCCGGAUUAAUACCGCAUACGACCUGAGGGUGAAAGCGGGGGACCGAAAGGCCUCGCGCUAUUGGAGCGGCCGAUGUCGGAUUAGCUAGUUGGUGGGGUAAAGGCUUACCAAGGCGACGAUCCGUAGCUGGUCUGAGAGGACGACCAGCCACACUGGGACUGAGACACGGCCCAGACUCCUACGGGAGGCAGCAGUGGGGAAUUUUGGACAAUGGGGGCAACCCUGAUCCAGCCAUGCCGCGUGCGGGAAGAAGGCCUUCGGGUUGUAAACUGCUUUUGUUCGGGAAGAAAUCCUCUGGGCUAAUACCCCGGGGGGAUGACGGUACCGGAAGAAUAAGCACCGGCUAACUACGUG